GCAGAGCACUCCGUACGGGAGGCAGCAGUGGGGAAUAUUGCACAAUGGGCGCAAGCCUGAUGCAGCCAUGCCGCGUGUAUGAAAGAAGGCCUUCGGGUUGUAAAGUACUUUCAGCAGUGAGGAAGGGUGGGUAUGUUAAUAGCAUAUUCAUUUGACGUUAGCUGCAGAAGAAGCACCGGCUAACUCCGUGCCAGCAGCCGCGGUAAUACGGAGGGUGCGAGCGUUAAUCGGAAUUACUGGGCGUAAAGCGCAUGCAGGUGGUUUGUUAAGUCAGAUGUGAAAGCCCGGGGCUCAACCUCGGAAUUGCAUUUGAAAACUGGCAAACUAGAGUACUGUAGAGGGGGUAGAAUUUCAGGUGUAGCGGUGAAAAUGCGUAGAGAUCUGAAGGAAUACCGGUGGCGAAGGCGGCCCCCUGGACAGAUACUGACACUCAGAUGCGAAAGCGUGGGGAGCAAACAGGAUUAGAUACCCCGGUAG
RNAcentral lists this ribosomal RNA (477 nucleotides) under uncultured bacterium. Its description in RNAcentral is "bacterial SSU rRNA". It matches the Rfam family "Bacterial small subunit ribosomal RNA", at positions 328 to 793 of the family's 1533-position model. The record is from RNAcentral.